UGAUAGCAUAAACAACAUUUUCAUUUCACAUCAUCAAGGUUUAAAAACGUUCUAUAAUCAAAAACCAUGAUUAGAGAGAUUAUAUGCAUUGUCUUAAUAUUUCCUGCAAGCCAACAGUAUCCAUUGGAAAACAAGGAAAUUGAAUUAUCAGAAUCAAGAUUACAAAACGAAUCUCCACAUAGAUUGAACUUUAUACCAACUUCUACACCACAUCAUUUGACGAAAGCACGUCCCCUGAGAAGAAAAUCCCGAAAUGUAUUUAAAUUACCAGACCAUGUUUGGGAAGGUAGAGAAGAGAUCAAUAGGUCAGAAUACCUUUCCAAAUCUAAAUUAAAUACUAAUAAACAACAUUCUUCUAAAGGCGUAUUUAAAUCCAAGAAUGUAUUUAAGUUACCAAACAAUGUUUGGAAAACAAAAGGACCAACCUUGCAGCCAAAAGAAAGGUUAAUCCAUAAAGAUUUCAAAACAAGAUCUACUACGUCCUCAAAUGUGUGGAAAACAAAAGGACCAACCGUGCAGCUAAAAGAAAGGUUAACCCAUAAUAAUUUCAAAACAAGAUCUACUACGUCUUCAAAUGUGUGGAAAACUCGUUGAAUAAGUGUUUACAAAAAUAAAACUACCGAUAUAGUUACAAGUCAUACAGUUAUGACUAUGCCUUCCGACAAUAAAAAUGACGGAAACCGGACUAACGUAUCUGUACCGAAACUAUCUAAAACAACUGAAUAUGAAACAAAUAAUAUUGGUAUAGUAGCAGGUUCUAUUAUUGCGAUUGUUGUAACAUUAGUUAUAGCAGCAAUUGUAUUAUAUAACGUGAAAGGCCUUAGAAAAAGAAUACAUGUAUUCUCAAUUUACAUAUUAAAUAAACGGCAAAGUCGAACCAUAAAUGGAGAAAUUCCUAAUGCAAAUGAUAUUGAACUACAACUGAUGAACGGACAAACAGAAUCGAUCGGGAUCGAUACGGAGAAUAUUUCCGACUAACAUAUCUGAAAUUUUGUUUUCGGGCAUUGUUAAUGUAGUUCUCAAACUGCGGUCAUUGCUUGUGCGAGUUAAGGUUCUAGAUUCCGAAGGAGAAUCUCGUGAAUAUGAAGAUGAAAAUCGGAUUUUGUACAACCGCCGUACAAUUAUGAACCUGGUUGUUUGGCCUGCAGAUUAUGAAAGGAUAAUAAAUCCGAAGAUUCAAUAUUGCUGUGUUGUAUAAUUUGGAUAUUCCUGCAUCUAACAGUUUAUAGUUUAAUAUUACUGACAAGUGCAGAUUCAGAGCGUACGAAACCAGUCAAACAAGGGAUCAAUUUGAGACAUAUCACAUGACAUUUACAGGACAAACUUAUUAAUAAAGAUUAAACUGCCCGGCGAGAAUGAAAGAGGUCCAGUUAUGCUGAAAAGGCACCAGUAUCAGACAAGAGAAAGAAGAAGGCUACUUAGUUAUACCAUUUAAAAAAGAAAUGAUAGAUUUAAACAUCUAUCAUAUUUAAGAUCGAAAGAGGUUAUGUAAACCAAAAAAACAAAACAUAAGCGGGCUUGUAUUUGAAGUGGACUAUUAUAAAUGUACAGUUUUCUGUGUGGCCGAAUGGUUAUUCUUAAAAGUUUGACUAUCUGUACUUACACUUUUACAGAUUUUUCUGUUUAGUACACAUGGUACAUCGACAAAAGACGAAACAAAACCAACGAAAACACAUCGAUAUGUAUGCAAAGAGUAAAUGCGUUAAAGAUGAAGAUCUGAACUGCAUUAACCAAAGACUUUCAAACUUAUUUGUAAAUAAUUUUACACAUGUCAGAAUGUAAAGAAUUAUAAGAUUAAACAAGAAUGUGUUUUUUU
This is a long non-coding RNA of Mytilus californianus (California mussel), 1816 nucleotides long. RefSeq lists it as uncharacterized. The record is from RefSeq and is a predicted model, not a curated record. NCBI's taxonomy places the organism in Eukaryota, Metazoa, Mollusca, Bivalvia, Mytilida, Mytilidae. The transcript is spliced from 2 exons.